GACGAACGCUGGCGGCGUGCCUAAUACAUGCAAGUAGAACGCUGAAGAGAGGAGCUUACUCUUCUUGGAUGAGUUGCGAACGGGUGAGUAACGCGUAGGUAACCUGCCUUGUAGCGGGGGAUAACUAUUGGAAACGAUAGCUAAUACCGCAUAACAAUGGAUGACACAUGUCAUUUAUUUGAAAGGGGCAAUUGCUCCACUACAAGAUGGACCUGCGUUGUAUUAGCUAGUAGGUGAGGUAAUGGCUCACCUAGGCGACGUUACAUAGCCGACCUGAGAGGGUGAUCGGCCACACUGGGACUGAGACACGGCCCAGACUCCUACGGGAGGCAGCAGUAGGGAAUCUUCGGCAAUGGGGGCAACCCUGACCGAGCAACGCCGCGUGAGUGAAGAAGGUUUUCGGAUCGUAAAGCUCUGUUGUAAGUCAAGAACGGGUGUGAGAGUGGAAAGUUCACACUGUGACGGUAGCUUACCAGAAAGGGACGGCUAACUACGUG
Molecule: ribosomal RNA, 497 nt
Filed under: uncultured bacterium
Lineage: Bacteria
Description: partial 16S ribosomal RNA
Rfam family: Bacterial small subunit ribosomal RNA
Source: RNAcentral